UACAGAGGGUGCGAGCGUUAAUCGGAAUUACUGGGCGUAAAGCGCACGUAGUCGGCUUUGCAAGUCGGGUGUGAAAUCCCCGGGCUCAACCUGGGAACUGCAUCCGAGACUGCAUUGCUAGAGUAUGGGAGAGGAAAGCGGAAUUUCUGGUGUAGCAGUGAAAUGCGUAGAUAUCAGAAGGAACAUCAGUGGCGAAGGCGGCUUCCUGGACCAAUACUGACGAUCAGGUGCGAAAGCGUGGGGAGCAAACAGG
RNAcentral lists this ribosomal RNA (253 nucleotides) under uncultured bacterium. Its description in RNAcentral is "partial 16S ribosomal RNA". It matches the Rfam family "Bacterial small subunit ribosomal RNA", at positions 524 to 776 of the family's 1533-position model. The record is from RNAcentral.